CCUCCGUCCCAAAAUAAAUAUAGUUUUGGACCAUUCGUCUUAUUUAAAAAAAUUUUAUGAUUAAUAUUUUUAUUACUAUUAGAUGAUAAAACAUGAAUAUUACUUUAUGUGUGACUAAAUAUUUUUAAAUUUUUAAUAAAUUUUCAAAUAAGACGGACGGUCAAAUGUUGGACACGGAUAUUCACGACUGCACUUAUU
RNAcentral lists this microRNA precursor (198 nucleotides) under Oryza sativa Indica Group (long-grained rice). Its description in RNAcentral is "MIR812 microRNA precursor family". It matches the Rfam family "MIR812 microRNA precursor family", at positions 27 to 205 of the family's 205-position model. The record is from Rfam by way of RNAcentral. Lineage: Eukaryota; Viridiplantae; Streptophyta; Magnoliopsida; Poales; Poaceae.